RNAcentral lists this long non-coding RNA (1432 nucleotides) under Olea europaea (common olive). Its description in RNAcentral is "long non-coding RNA (OEUR_LNC000847)". Lineage: Eukaryota; Viridiplantae; Streptophyta; Magnoliopsida; Lamiales; Oleaceae. The record is from RNAcentral.
GACGAACAAAAUGUUGUGAACGUUCAGGAUUCAGAAGCUAAUCAAGGUGAUAGAAAUGUGAUCCGUCCAAGCAGUUUUCGGAUGCUCUUGAGGAAACCUACCCACACUGUCCACUACUAUUGGAGAAAAUUUGAUGAUGGCUUCAUGCGUCCUGUUUUUGGUGGACGGGGUUUUGUACCAUAUGUUCCAGGCUCUCCAAUCGAACAAAGUGUGCAUCAAUGGCAAGGAGAGGCCAAACACUAAGCAUAUAAUCGCUGGUGGCUCAUUCAAUCGGGUUUUGGCUUUCAUUUGUUAAUAUUAUCGAGUGUUUUUUCUGUGUGGAUGAUGGCGGUGUCUAAAUUAGCAUAGUUUGCACAAAUUUAUUCAUUGCAGUGGUAUUGGUACGUUUUUGUUUCCCUUCUGGGUAGUUGUUGACCCAAUAGUUUGUUUUUUGGGAAAUGCGAGCUUUUCCCUCCCCGACGAGGUUUUGGAACACCAAAUCGGUGUAUAUUUUUGUAAGCAUAAAUCAUUGUGUAUGACUUUCCAUAAAUUGUUGUCACCUUCACAUUUUUGAGCUAAAAUCAUAAUACAAAUACACUUUUCUGCGUCUAUGUGGAUUAUGAUGUUCUAUGCUGAGUUUUCUUUUGACAUUUUUGGGUAUUCGAGGAACUCUAUGGAUAAUAUCCAUUGCGCUGAACAAGAAGUAUAAGCUUAGAAGUCAUAAUCCGAGAAAUUUGUAAAAAAUUUGAAGCUCACAUUUUCUAUUAUUGAAGAUAUUAUGAUCCUUUUACAUUCAUUAUUGAAAAAUAUUGUUGAGAGCUAUAAAUAUUCGUAGUACAAAAGAAGGCACACAGCCACUAUCCCUCCACGAACAAAAUGUUGUGAACGUUCAGGAUUCAGAAGCUAAUCAAAGUGAUAGAAAUGUGAUCCGUCCAAGCAGUUUUCGGAUGCUCUUGAGGAAACCUACCCACACUGUCCACUACUAUUGGAGAAAAUUUGAUGAUGGCUUCAUGCGUCCUGUUUUUGGUGGACGGGGUUUUGUACCAUAUGUUCCAGGCUCUCCAAUCGAACAAAGUGUGCAUCAAUGGCAAGGAGAGGCCAAACACUAAGCAUAUAAUCGCUGGUGGCUCAUUCAAUCGGGUUUUGGCUUUCAUUUGUUAAUAUUAUCGAGUGUUUUUUCUGUGUGGAUGAUGGCGGUGUCUAAAUUAGCAUAGUUUGCACAAAUUUAUUCAUUGCAGUGGUAUUGGUACGUUUUUGUUUCUUCUCUGGGUAGUUGUUGACCCAAUAGUUUGUUUUUUGGGAAAUGCGAGCUUUUCCCUCCCCGACCGAGGUUUUGGAACACCAAAUCGGUGUAUAUUUUUGUAAGCAUAAAUCAUUGUGUAUGACUUUCCAUAAAUUGUUGUCACCUUCACAUUUUUGAGCUAAAAUCAUAAUACAAAUACACUUUUCUGCG